This 89-nucleotide transfer RNA is filed under the name Danio rerio (zebrafish). It matches the Rfam family "tRNA". Rfam says of the family: Transfer RNA (tRNA) molecules are approximately 80 nucleotides in length. Their secondary structure includes four short double-helical elements and three loops (D, anti-codon, and T loops). Further hydrogen bonds mediate the characteristic L-shaped molecular structure. tRNAs have two regions of fundamental functional importance: the anti-codon, which is responsible for specific mRNA codon recognition, and the 3' end, to which the tRNAs corresponding amino acid is attached (by aminoacyl-tRNA synthetases). tRNAs cope with the degeneracy of the genetic code in two manners: having more than one tRNA (with a specific anti-codon) for a particular amino acid; and 'wobble' base-pairing, i.e. permitting non-standard base-pairing at the 3rd anti-codon position. Lineage: Eukaryota; Metazoa; Chordata; Actinopteri; Cypriniformes; Danionidae. The record is from Rfam by way of RNAcentral.
GGCUCUGUGGUGCAAUGGAUAGUGCAUUGGACUUCUAGGCUGUGAGCUGAGCCAUUCAAAGGUUGUGGGUUCGAGUCCCACCAGAGUCA